AGUGAACGCUGGCGGUAGGCCUAACACAUGCAAGUCGAACGGCAGCACAGUAAGAGCUUGCUCUUACGGGUGGCGAGUGGCGGACGGGUGAGGAAUACAUCGGAAUCUACUUUUUCGUGGGGGAUAACGUAGGGAAACUUACGCUAAUACCGCAUACGACCUACGGGUGAAAGCAGGGGAUCUUCGGACCUUGCGCGAUUGAAUGAGCCGAUGUCGGAUUAGCUGGUUGGCGGGGUAAAGGCCCACCAAGGCGAGGAUCCGUAGCUGGUCUGAGAGGAUGGUCAGCCACACUGGAACUGAGACACGGUCCAGACUCCUACGGGAGGCAGCAGUGGGGAAUAUUGGACAAUGGGCGCAAGCCUGAUCCAGCCAUACCGCGUGGGUGAAGAAGGCCUUCGGGUUGUAAAGCCCUUUUGUUGGGAAAGAAAAGCAGCAGGUUAAUACCCCGCUGUUCUGACGGUACCCAAAGAAUAAGCACCGGCUAACUUCGUG
Molecule: ribosomal RNA, 492 nt
Filed under: uncultured bacterium
Lineage: Bacteria
Description: partial 16S ribosomal RNA
Rfam family: Bacterial small subunit ribosomal RNA
Source: RNAcentral